Molecule: long non-coding RNA, 1407 nt
Filed under: Numida meleagris (helmeted guineafowl)
Lineage: Eukaryota; Metazoa; Chordata; Aves; Galliformes; Numididae
Description: lncRNA (ENSNMEG00000020097.1)
Source: RNAcentral
UGAAUGUAAAAGUGACACUCAAAGGGCCAUUAAGAUAGCAGCUCGGCUGAAUUCCUUUCCAGCCUCAUGUGGCAGGUGCUUUAGUUUAAGAUCACCUUUCCUGAGAGAAGGAAGGAAGGGCUGGUACACGUGACUCGAGGUGCACAGCUUACUCCUUAAUGAGGUGCAGGCAGCUGCUUAAGGAAGCAGUAGCUUUGCCAGGAGAGGUAAUGAGAUUAAUGAGAAGUCAGAAGAGCGCCAAUAAAUGUGACAAACUUAUUUCUCCUCUUCUAGCUCUGAAAGCCCAGUGGAGUGGACAACACCAGCCCUUGGCUUGUGGUUCCCUAGGUCAGCUGUACAGCUCUUUGGUAUCACCAAAGGAUCAAUGUGACUUGCAACAUAGAUCUCACAUCAGAAAUAAAAACUGAAGCUGUCUUGCUUUUCCUUAAAGAAGAAAAGUUUAGUCUUUUGAAAUAUUGCCAACAAUGACUACUUUCAGAACCUCUCACAUAGUUUGGAUGCCAAAGUCACGCUGAAAGUCAGUGAAGUUGAAGAUUUUAACUUGCACUGUAAAUGUGAGUUAAAGGCUUUAAGGGUGAAGCCUCUGUCCCUGGAGAGGAUCUGGACAAGUCUCCUUUAUCCUUCAGGUUCUGGGCUGAUUCGUAGGACCGAGAGGUGGGAGAGAGGUCACAGAGGGCUCCUGCUAUCUACAAAUAUGCUGCUCAUAAGUAAGUUUUGGAGGAGAUGGCUGGAUCCAUUCUUACAGAGAUGGUUUCUCUUGUUAAGAAAUGUCUGAAGAAGCAUAGUGCUUGGCGGUUUUCCUUAAUGCUGUAGAGAAGUGCCUUGGUGAGCCCCUUACCUCAUGUGCACGUUUCCAGGUUCGUUUGAAAUGUGGAGAAGAGUGAAGACGAAGCACAGUGGCUCAGAAAGCAAUGAACACAAUGCUUCUCAUUUUAAGAGUCUCAUAAUUAAACCAUUAAAGAUUGCUGGGGCUAGCAAUACCAUGUCUACGGGGAGCUAAUUACUUGUACAACUGGUAAAAUACCAUGACAACAACAAAGGACAUCUUACAGACAAGGAAUGCUGACAAGAUCCUGCCCUGAAGCGUGCAGCUGGAAGGCCCAGCCUGUACCCUCCCAAGUCAGUGGAAUGUCUCCUGUGAACAACUGCAACUUGGGACCUGCAUUUCUGCUGUCAAGGUGAUUAGUAAAGAUGCAGUAAACACUAACAAGAUAUACAGAUCAGGGAGGUGUGAGCUGGUGCGGAUAUACUGCAGCCGUACAUCUGUAAGGCUGGCUGCUGCCUCACCAGCAGAGCACUGGGCCAGGGGCUUGCUGAUUCACUCUUUCCUGUUUUUCAUUUUGCUCCUUCAUGGAGAUCAUGGUGUUGUCUCCAAGUCUCUCCAAGGGCAUUUGCUUUGGUGUUCUU